CCUACGGGAGGCAGCAGUGGGGAAUAUUGCACAAUGGGGGAAACCCUGAAGCAGCAACGCCGCGUGAGUGAAGAAGUAUUUCGGUAUGUAAAGCUUUAUCAGCAGGGAAGAAGAUGACGGUACCUGAGUAAGAAGCCCCGGCUAACUACGUGCAGGCAGCCGCGGUAAUACGUAGGGGGCAAGCGUUAUCCGGAGUUACUGGGUGUAAAGGGAGCGUAGACGGUGGGACAAGUCUGAAGUGAAAGUUCGGGGCUCAACCCCGGGACUGCUUUUGAAACUGGCUGACUGGAGUGCAGGAGAGGUAGGCGGAAUUCGUGGUGUAGCGGUGAAAUGCGUAGAUAUUAGGAAGAACACCGGUGGCGAAGGCAGCUUGCUGGACAGUAACUGACGUUGAGGCUCGAAAGCGUGGGGAGCAAACAGGAUUAGAUACCCGAGUAGUC
Molecule: ribosomal RNA, 440 nt
Filed under: uncultured bacterium
Lineage: Bacteria
Description: partial 16S ribosomal RNA
Rfam family: Bacterial small subunit ribosomal RNA
Source: RNAcentral